GAAUGUUCCUAGCUCUGUCCCUGUCAUCAGAAAUGAUAUUGAAUGGCUCAGUACUAGGGGAUCUGGAACUAUUUCUACAGCUUUCUCACCUCAUUUGGAAUUUUCUUGUCUUGCUAAUUUUAAUUCUUUAGUUGAGUCAUCAAUUCAAAUUUGGUAGGGACUGGCAUCACCCAGUUGGUCGACUUGGGAGAAAUAUCGUUCAUGAAGAUGAUCAGACUGCACCAAAUUCCACCCCCACCCCUCACAUAUACAGAGAUCCGAGCGGCUGUGGUGUGAGUGCACGUGUGUGUUUGUGUGUGUGUGUGUGUGUGUGUGUGUGUGUUAUGCAAAAGGGUCUCUCUGCUGCUUUCUCUUUUGUCACUGAGUCUCCAAAUUGUGUAACUGAAACUGCAAGGAAGACCGUUUUCCUGAAGAUGCUGAGAGCUCUGUUUUGAAGACACACACAUAUCCGUGAGUUUGAAUUCAGUGGUCUAUUGACCAUCCAUCUGCCCUUUGUAGAGAACAGACAAGGAAAAUAAAGAGAGUUAAAGUGGUUCAAAUGAGGGACUCAGAAAGGAAUUUUCAGUUCCGACUCUGGCUGUCAGCUGCUGUCAUUGAGACCGAGCAACAAUGAGGUGUCUGGUGAUAGGAAAUGGGGAGGACUAGGGAUGGAGGCAGUAAUGAUCACCUUCCUAACAAGGGUUUUAUGAGGCUGUGAGGAUUAAUUAGUUUGUAUCCUUAAGCAGUUUGAGAAAGAUGAAGUUUCAGUAAAUGCUAAGCUGGAGUUGUAGACAUCUGACUCAGUAGAGAGGUCUCCCCCACCCCCAAUCCCAGGCUUUGAAAACUCCUAUCUGUGCUGUGAUGCACUACAAAGGAAGUGAGGGGGAAGCAAGCACUCACUUAUGGAAGAACAGAGAAGGAGAGAGAGACAUGAGUCAGGCUAGCAUCCCUCCAACAGGCUCGGCUAAUGAGGAUGCUGCAAUGGGGGCGCUUACCAAAAAAUAAAAAUAAAAACCAGCCAACACCUUGUUUCAGAUAUGCCUUCCAGAGCUAGGAAAGAGAGCUCUGGGGGAGCUCAUCUGUUGUUUUGUAGUUUUAGAAACAGCCACGGAUGCUUUCGAGUGAAUUCAACAAAGGUAGUUUGUAUCCUGGAAAACACGAACAAUUAGAGACUGAAGAGUGAGGACGCCUGUUUGGGGACCGGUUUGGUAUUGUACCCAGACCACACAUUCCGGCUGGGAAGGAACACAGUAAUGUAUAAAGCAUUAGUGGAUUUAACGCUCUGCAUUGUGCUUGGGGAAUCGAAUUGUUGAUGUUUCUGGCAAGAACUCAUACUCCAAUUGAAAUCUAUCAAACACCUUAAUUAGCUCCGGGUACCUAAAUGCACCCAACCAAGAGGCAAGUUGGAAAGCAGCAGAAGGAAAGGGCAGGAGCUGGCACAGAGGUGUCAUGGGCCUCCCUGGGUACCUUCAGCACCCUGUGGCCUCACUUUCCAGACCGGAAUACAUGGGCCAUGGUGGAAAGUCAGACAACUUGCAGCUCUCACUGCAGCAGCCACAGGGAUGUGAUUGAAGGUGUUUGGAUGGUUUGACCAGUGUUGGCUAAGGGGAUGAGAAGAGGCCGCAGUGACACAAAGCUGUUGCCGAUAAUAACUGGAGCCUUUUUCUGAGCCAACCGUUCCACCUGGACCUCAGUACAAAUUAUUGUUUUCAAUUACCACCUGUGUAUUCCUUCCCAUGCAACUUAUUGAUGUAAAAUUACAGCUACACCGGUAUAAAUAAGUUAUGCUGCAGUUGUAAAAUGGAAGAAAUUUUGUUGUAGCAAUUAUGUUCAGCAAGAUGACAAAAUAAAUUUCCAGAGCUGUGCCUGCAGUAACCUGGGGAAUUUAAACCUCAUAAUUUCCAUUCAUUUCAGAUAAUUUGGAGUAAUUUCUAUAUGUAAUAACUUUGUAAUGAAAAACACAGCGGUACUGAAGUGAUUUCGCUCCGUUUUUUUCUCCUAUGGUAUACAUGGCACAAAAUAAAUGAUAAAAAUAAUAUUUCCUUUUUAUAUGUGUGUGUGUUGAGUAAUUCCUUCAGUAAAAAUCAUAAACUAAUACCCAGACUAAAUCUCUGUCCACAAAAUGAAAAAUAAAUUGAGUUAAAGAAA
RNAcentral lists this long non-coding RNA (2127 nucleotides) under Homo sapiens (human). RNAcentral describes it as "HSALNT0379086". The record is from RNAcentral. Lineage: Eukaryota; Metazoa; Chordata; Mammalia; Primates; Hominidae.